AAUGGCGGCUAUAGCGAGGGGGAUCACCUCUUCCCAUUCCGAACAGAGAAGUUAAGCCCCUCCACGCUGAUGGUACUGGUUUUCCGGGAGAGUAAGUAGCUGCCUAUC
This 108-nucleotide ribosomal RNA is filed under the name Bacteroidetes bacterium 37-13. The record is from RNAcentral. Lineage: Bacteria; Pseudomonadati; Bacteroidota. RNAcentral also lists the same sequence under 1 other name.